GCCUGGGUGGCUCAGUCGGUUGAGCAUCUGACUUCAGCUCAGGUCAUGAACUUGCGAUUUGUGAGUACGAGCCCCGCGUCAGGCU
This is a transfer RNA of Felis catus (domestic cat), 85 nucleotides long. It matches the Rfam family "tRNA". From Rfam's summary of the family: Transfer RNA (tRNA) molecules are approximately 80 nucleotides in length. Their secondary structure includes four short double-helical elements and three loops (D, anti-codon, and T loops). Further hydrogen bonds mediate the characteristic L-shaped molecular structure. tRNAs have two regions of fundamental functional importance: the anti-codon, which is responsible for specific mRNA codon recognition, and the 3' end, to which the tRNAs corresponding amino acid is attached (by aminoacyl-tRNA synthetases). tRNAs cope with the degeneracy of the genetic code in two manners: having more than one tRNA (with a specific anti-codon) for a particular amino acid; and 'wobble' base-pairing, i.e. permitting non-standard base-pairing at the 3rd anti-codon position. NCBI's taxonomy places the organism in Eukaryota, Metazoa, Chordata, Mammalia, Carnivora, Felidae. The record is from Rfam.